GGGUCUUUGAUAAGGACAUCUUGAAAGCUUCACGUCUUAUGGUGCAAGUGAGGGCGGAGACAGCCGCUGUGAUGUGAAGGUCGGGUAUUUGAAGCCUUUCUUUGUUAAACCUCGUCAUAAAUCCUCGUAGGGUUUCACUUGGUCCCUGGCGAAGUUGCAUGAGAGAGGCCACAGUCUUUCUGAUUCACUUGCUACUUGCAAAGAAGGCUGAGAACUUAUCAGCCAAAUUUGAGAAUGAG
RNAcentral lists this long non-coding RNA (239 nucleotides) under Olea europaea subsp. europaea. Lineage: Eukaryota; Viridiplantae; Streptophyta; Magnoliopsida; Lamiales; Oleaceae. The record is from RNAcentral.